This 501-nucleotide ribosomal RNA is filed under the name uncultured Pantoea sp. RNAcentral describes it as "bacterial SSU rRNA". It matches the Rfam family "Bacterial small subunit ribosomal RNA", at positions 17 to 507 of the family's 1533-position model. Lineage: Bacteria; Pseudomonadati; Pseudomonadota; Gammaproteobacteria; Enterobacterales; Erwiniaceae. The record is from RNAcentral.
UCCUGGCUCAGAUUGAACGCUGGCGGCAGGCCUAACACAUGCAAGUCGGACGGUAGCACAGAGGAGCUUGCUCCUUGGGUGACGAGUGGCGGACGGGUGAGUAAUGUCUGGGGAUCUGCCCGAUAGAGGGGGAUAACCACUGGAAACGGUGGCUAAUACCGCAUAACGUCGCAAGACCAAAGAGGGGGACCUUCGGGCCUCUCACUAUCGGAUGAACCCAGAUGGGAUUAGCUAGUAGGCGGGGUAAUGGCCCACCUAGGCGACGAUCCCUAGCUGGUCUGAGAGGAUGACCAGCCACACUGGAACUGAGACACGGUCCAGACUCCUACGGGAGGCAGCAGUGGGGAAUAUUGCACAAUGGGCGCAAGCCUGAUGCAGCCAUGCCGCGUGUAUGAAGAAGGCCUUCGGGUUGUAAAGUACUUUCAGCGGGGAGGAAGGCGAUGGGGUUAAUAACCCUGUCGAUUGACGUUACCCGCAGAAGAAGCACCGGCUAACUCCGUG